UACUCGUGAACAACGCAGAUGUAUUCACAGAAGCACAGCUGUGCCGUAAGGUGUGUUGCUCGCUCCUGUUCGAUAUGUUCCCCAGAGAAAGAUGGUAGAAAGACAUUUGCUUGGUAUACUGCUGCUUGCUGCCCACUUGGCCCUAUUGGAGUGCAAGUUUCCCUUGGUAUCAAGAAAAGCUUUCAAUAUGAGUCAGUUCUUGAAUACCAAGGAGAGUAUAUGGACCUAUGAGACGAACGGACCCUCCGAUCUCGAAUGUGAAGUGGAAAUCAUACACACAAUUACUCCAAAACAAAUAUUUUUUAUGAAAGCUUACUAUGAAAAUGGGAAGAAGAUUACUAUGAAGCUGUUGGGAAAAUUUGACCCGCAUCGGCUGAAGCACUUGGACGUCUAUUCUUUAGGUGGUGAGAUGAGGUUUUCCGAGGACAUCAUUUAUAUGAGCUCGACAUCUAGCUGCGCAGUUAUCAGAGUAGCAAAGAGUGGCGAAAUGGAUACACCCCUGUUAAGCUGGAGUUCAAAAGAAUAGCUGCAAUGAGAUAUACAGUGAACCAGCGACAGCGUAAAAAGAAGCGCUACCAAAAGGGUGUGUUCAGAUCUUAUCCACUAGUUUGACAAACCUGCAACAGAAAAGGCAAACACCCCACUUUCAACCUACGAGUUCGGAAUUCCUCUACUAAAGAAGGCCCUGAGAAGAAAUGCUUGCGCCACUUCCUUAUGCAUGUAAAGCGAGCCAACGUGAUCUACCGUCCGCAGUGUCAACAUAUAUUUGAUAACAGUGGGCAGUCCUCAUUGUUGGUUAUAGGUGGCAGAAAAAAGUAGUAAAAAAUUCACCAAAAUAACUGUGUAAAUGAAGUGUAUGCGGAAACGAAAAACAGCAAACAGAACGAGAAGGGGCAGAAAAAAAUAUGAGCACUAUAGCAGAAUAUAACCAGUCGACCAAUCAUAUUUAUAUGCUACCUCACGAGUAUUUGUCCAGCUUAGAUUAGGUUACUUUUGUGGGUAUGUAAGAUUUUUAUAACAUGAAGCCCUCACAGUUCUAGAUGUGUCGUUAUUAUUUAGUUACCUAAGCUAGGUAGUACGUUAGUGUUUUAUUUAUUAGGUACCUAUUCUAUGAUUUCAGCAAUUCCAUUGUUAAAAUGUAACUUGAAUAUAGUAUUUAUAAAUGCAAAUUGGCCUCCUUGGACAAAAGCAAAUAGAAGCUUUCGUUUACUGAAAUUUACCAACAAUGGCAAAAUCUUCUUUUGGCAACUGCGAACGCCUGUAAAAUACAUUUCUGGAGAUGUCAACGCACUUGUUACCACUUAUCUCCUAUUAACAUGAUGUAGUGAUAUGUAAAGCUUUUCAUGCUCCCUGGGUGGUCUUCUCAUACAGUUGAAACAUAGGGGUAGUUUGAGAGGGUGAUUUCAAAGUAAUUUAGGUCGCAGCACUGGUAGCAUUUCGAACAGAAUUACGUUGUUUUUAGUAAAUUAUCCCAAGCUAUAUAAACAAAUGCAUAUGAAAUAACGUUUGAGGUAUGCCAUAAUGUCCAGAUGAAAUUGUUUGUCCACACGAAAAGCCAUGAGCUUUGCGAUUUUUCUGCCACCUUCAGGAAGAUAUUUCUAUUUGACAGUUUAAAGCUAGUAGUUUGUAUUUUUUUUACCUGUCACCUAGUUUCGUGAUUGCCGAUGGUCGCUCGUCCAUAGCUGGCGGUCAAUGGUUGACGGUCGGUGGGGGGACAUACGAUACAAAUGCGUUCGAGAACAGGAUGCGAUGAGCUUUGGGGAGCACUCAACAAGAAAAACGUUCUUUCCUUGUCUCCCACACUAGUUCUCCAGUUCGUUCGUUUUCGCAAUUGGCUUAAAUUGACAACUGUGUUUUGUGGCUUCCGUUGAGUUUUGGUUCAACAACGCUUACGGCUCCUCUUUUUUUCUACAAGACGCCUCUACAUUUCAACAAAAAAGCCAAUUUUCAGCUGGUACCGAAAUUAUGCCUCCGAAAACGGGGAUAGAUUGGUUGCGAUAAUACUUGGUCACGCUCAAGUUCCCAUGAAUCACGACACAAAGGUAUUCAUUCAUUCAGGCACAGUGGCUACGUGCUCGUUGUUUGUAAACGCGGUAAUUUCUUUGAUAAUAAAUUGCAAAUUGGCUUCGAAAGCCGAAA
Dermacentor andersoni is the source of this 2139-nucleotide RNA transcript. RefSeq lists it as uncharacterized. The record is from RefSeq and is a predicted model, not a curated record. NCBI's taxonomy places the organism in Eukaryota, Metazoa, Arthropoda, Arachnida, Ixodida, Ixodidae.